CGGUAAUACGUAGGUGGCAAGCGUUAUCCGGAAUUAUUGGGCGUAAAGCGCGCGCAGGUGGUUUCUUAAGUCUGAUGUGAAAGCCCACGGCUCAACCGUGGAGGGUCAUUGGAAACUGGGAGACUUGAGUGCAGAAGAGGAAAGUGGAAUUCCAUGUGUAGCGGUGAAAUGCGUAGAGAUAUGGAGGAACACCAGUGGCGAAGGCGACUUUCUGGUCUGUAACUGACACUGAGGCGCGAAAGCGUGGGGAGCAAACAGGAUUA
This 263-nucleotide ribosomal RNA is filed under the name Bacillus gaemokensis. RNAcentral's name for it is "partial 16S ribosomal RNA". It matches the Rfam family "Bacterial small subunit ribosomal RNA", at positions 518 to 780 of the family's 1533-position model. Lineage: Bacteria; Bacillati; Bacillota; Bacilli; Caryophanales; Bacillaceae. RNAcentral also lists the same sequence under 1 other name. The record is from RNAcentral.